This 77-nucleotide transfer RNA is filed under the name Veillonella sp. RNAcentral describes it as "tRNA-Phe". It matches the Rfam family "tRNA". Rfam says of the family: Transfer RNA (tRNA) molecules are approximately 80 nucleotides in length. Their secondary structure includes four short double-helical elements and three loops (D, anti-codon, and T loops). RNAcentral also lists the same sequence under 2 other names. The record is from RNAcentral. Lineage: Bacteria; Bacillati; Bacillota; Negativicutes; Veillonellales; Veillonellaceae.
GGUGGGUUAGCUCAGCAGGUAGAGCAAUAGGUUGAAGCCCUAUGUUAGCGUUGGUUCAAUUCCAACACCCACCACCA